GACGAACGCUGGCGGCGUGCUUAACACAUGCAAGUCGAACGAAGAGCGACGGAAGCUUGCUUCUAUCAAUCUUAGUGGCGAACGGGUGAGUAACGCGUAAUCAACCUGCCCUUCAGAGGGGGACAACAGUUGGAAACGACUGCUAAUACCGCAUACGAUCUAAUCUCGGCAUCGAGGAUGGAUGAAAGGUGGCCUCUACAUGUAAGCUAUCACUGAAGGAGGGGAUUGCGUCUGAUUAGCUAGUUGGAGGGGUAACGGCCCACCAAGGCGAUGAACAGUAGCCGGUCUGAGAGGAUGAACGGCCACAUUGGGACUGAGACACGGCCCAGACUCCUACGGGAGGCAGCAGUGGGGAAUCUUCCGCAAUGGACGAAAGUCUGACGGAGCAACGCCGCGUGAGUGAUGACGGCCUUCGGGUUGUAAAGCUCUGUUAAUCGGGACGAAAGGCCUUCUUGCGAAUAGUGAGAAGGAUUGACGGUACCGGAAUAGAAAGCCACGGCUAACUACGUG
RNAcentral lists this ribosomal RNA (510 nucleotides) under uncultured bacterium. RNAcentral describes it as "partial 16S ribosomal RNA". It matches the Rfam family "Bacterial small subunit ribosomal RNA", at positions 28 to 507 of the family's 1533-position model. The record is from RNAcentral.